UGGGGAAUAUUGCACAAUGGAGGAAACUCUGAUGCAGCGACGUCGCGUGAAUGAUGAAUGUCUUCGGAUAGUAAAGUUCUGUCCUAGGGGAAGAUAAUGACGGUACCCUUGGAGGAAGCCCCGGCUAACUACGUGCCAGCAGCCGCGGUAAUACGUAGGGGGCAAGCGUUGUCCGGAAUUACUGGGCGUAAAGGGUUCGCAGGCGGUUACUUAAGUCAGAUGUGAAAUCUAGUGGCUCAACCACUAUAAGCAUUUGAAACUGAAUAACUUGAGUCAAGGAGAGGGAAGGGGAAUUCCUAGUGUAGCGGUGAAAUGCGUAGAUAUUAGGAGGAAUACCGAUGGCGAAGGCACCUUCCUGGACUUGAACUGACGCUGAGGAACGAAAGCACGGGUAGCAAACA
RNAcentral lists this ribosomal RNA (401 nucleotides) under uncultured bacterium. RNAcentral's name for it is "bacterial SSU rRNA". It matches the Rfam family "Bacterial small subunit ribosomal RNA", at positions 355 to 774 of the family's 1533-position model. The record is from RNAcentral.